This is a long non-coding RNA of Rosa chinensis, 1140 nucleotides long. RefSeq lists it as uncharacterized. Lineage: Eukaryota; Viridiplantae; Streptophyta; Magnoliopsida; Rosales; Rosaceae. The record is from RefSeq and is a predicted model, not a curated record. The transcript is spliced from 4 exons.
ACUUUGCUUUUAUUCUCAUGAUUAAUAAGCUUUAGUUUUUUCGCAUGUUCAUCUAGAAAGAAUGUUAUUGAACCCUAAUUUCAGAUUGAAGGGUUUCUAAGGAUCUGCUUUAAUUUCAAUUGUCGAUUUUUAAGAUUUAAUGUUUCUAAAUGCUUAUUUGCCAAUGAUUCUGGUCUUUUACUAUUUGAUUCCGUGGAUUAUUUUGUCUCAUAUGGUUGGUAUUUGGAUUUUGUCUCAUCCUAUGGUUGGUUGCGCUAGUAAUGAUCAUCAGGAAAGAUAAGCACUUGAAUAAGGUUGAUGUUGCAGAUGAUGGAGAUGUGCGUGCAUCUGCUUAGUGUUGCCCUCAAAGGGGUGGGGGACGAAUCAUAGGAGCAAUUGAAGGUUCUGCAGCAGCAUGUGACUGAGCUAGAGGCGGAAGUGGAGGCCUUGAGGUCGAAGUCGUCGCUUUAGGAGGCAUUGGAGAAGGAUAAGAGUAAGAGGAUGUGAGCAAGUUCCAUGAGAUGAUGAGAAUCUCGACAAGAAUGUGAAGAAAGUGCAAAAAGUUUUGUUGGGAAAGAGAAGGCAUUGGAGGCCAAAAGGGAAGAGAAGAGGAUUUUACAGGAGAAUGAGGAGUUGAAGAAGAUAGCCUAAUCACGGAGUUUUAACAAGAGGGAUAUGGAGAGAAUGAAGAGGGAAUUGCAAGUUGUGGAGGGGGACAUUAGGGAAGCGGAGCUGCUAGAAAUGUGCGGGAGAAGAAGGUUUAGGAUUUGGAUAGCAAGCUUGGCCCACAGGUUAAGGAGUUGUUGGAGGCUUUAGCCAUGGAGUGGAACCAACUCAUGAGGAGACGUUGGGGAUGUGCGUGCAUCUGGUUAGUGUUGCUGUCAUAAACGAGCAUAAGCAUGUUGCACAUAUUUUACUUCAGUCAGUAAGAGGAGCCACAUAAUACUUCCACAGGUGAUCAGAGAAGUUCGCCAAGAGACAUAAAUUCAUAGUGUUAGAAGGCUACCCAGGAUGGAACGAAGGGCACCCAGGAUGAAAUAAUGGUUGUUAAUCUGUUAUGAUUUAAGAAGGCUGCCUUGGAUUUUACUUUUUGGCCACAAGAGUGAUCGUUGACAAAAAACAAUUUAUCUUAAUUAUAAAUUUUCAUUUUUUUUUUUUGGG